UCUUGGUUUUCGACCAUUUAAUGAGUGAUGGGGAUUUUCUGCAUUAUUUGAUUGGUUGUUGUUAUUUAUUUUCUCAUAUGGUAUUGUCUUUAACAUUAAAGGAAGAUGGUUUUUUUUUUCCAAUUUGUUGGUCCCACCUAGAAGGGUUUUUGGUCAACCAUAUUGUAGAAAAUACUCGUGUUUAUAUUUGUUGUUUUUCUCCAGGAUGUUUUCACAUGUUUGGACUAGCUAUUUCUGAGAUACAUCUUUUUCCAAGGAUUUUGAGUUCUUCACGGGCAUUCCAUUUCAUUUUCUUGAUUGCUAACACUUCUCCAUCAAUUGUUCCUUUAUACACAGACCCUUGAAUCAAACACUCUUCAUCAAAUCCAUUUGUUGCUUCCCAAAGUUGUUCCAUUUUAUACAUUUUAUACUUAUCCAAACAGUCUGAUAAAUCAGCCAUCAAAUUCACUUCAACAUCUUUAUCAACAAUAGACCCCUUUUUUGAUCCAACAUACAAACUUUUUUGUCUUUCUAUAUCACUAUACUUUUCUCUCUUUACUGUUUUCUCCUUGUAAAACAAACCAAGAAUCAAAAUCAACAGCAGCCCACAAACCCC
This is a non-coding RNA of Solanum lycopersicum (tomato), 595 nucleotides long. NCBI's taxonomy places the organism in Eukaryota, Viridiplantae, Streptophyta, Magnoliopsida, Solanales, Solanaceae. The record is from RefSeq and is a predicted model, not a curated record.